This is a long non-coding RNA of Engraulis encrasicolus (European anchovy), 821 nucleotides long. RefSeq lists it as uncharacterized. NCBI's taxonomy places the organism in Eukaryota, Metazoa, Chordata, Actinopteri, Clupeiformes, Engraulidae. The record is from RefSeq and is a predicted model, not a curated record. The transcript is spliced from 4 exons.
CUAUAGCCUACGUCAGGGUCGGGGAACGUUUCUCAUUCGAAGGGCCGCUUCAAAUUCAUCCGAGGGGCCGUAAAAGUCCUCCAAGGGCCGUACUAUGAACACAAACCAGGAUUUUCCCUUUCACUUUAGGCCUAUAUUGAAGGCAGCCACAUUUAAACAAACGCCACCUUCUUCAGGUUCCCUGAAUAUAACUUAAUUGUAUUGCAAAUGUAUUUUCUAAGAUUCCUUUACAAAAUAUGUCAUAUUUCAUGUGAAGCUGAAUAGCAUUAAAAUUAUAUCGGGGGGCCAGAUAAAACUGCCUCAAGGGUCGCAAACGGCCCUAGAGACAUAGGUUCCCCACCCCUGGCCUACAUUGUCAAUAUGACUUGUGCUACUUUAUAGAUAAGUAAUCAAUGCUGUGCAUUGCUAUGUUUUGAUUUAUUUUCUUACAUCCUACAGAUCCUGGCAGGGAGACGGUAGUGUCCUGCAGAAUGGUGAUGGGCCAAUCUUACAAGAGACCACAGAAAACUGAUAUAGUGAACUAUAGAAACAACAGUGCCUGCUGCAGUAUAACGAGGACACCCUGAGCAGAGAGCUCCAAUAGACCCAGGUCCAGUGUCUUGGCAGGGUGAAAUGGCACUGAUAUGGUGUCCUGCAGGAUGCUGUGUCCUGCAAUCCUGUGUGCUGUGCUACAGACGCGUGUGGAGGUCAACCCAAAAUGGGCACAGUCUCACCACAGAAGAGUGAAAGAGGCUCCCAGAAGUGAGACUGAGUGCCUGUUGCAGUAUGACGAGGACGCAGUGACCAGAGACCUUCAGUAGACCCUGCUGGCAUGAUUGGCG